UGCUAACACCGCGCAUGCGUGCUAACACC
RNAcentral lists this non-coding RNA (29 nucleotides) under Rattus norvegicus (Norway rat). The record is from RNAcentral. Lineage: Eukaryota; Metazoa; Chordata; Mammalia; Rodentia; Muridae.